GACGAACGCUGGCGGCGUGCUUAACACAUGCAAGUCGAACGGAAAGGCCUCUUUCGGGGGGUACUCGAGUGGCGAACGGGUGAGUAACACGUGAGUAACCUGCCCUUGACUUUGGGAUAACUUCAGGAAACUGGGGCGAAUACCGGAUAGGAGCUCCUGCUGCAUGGUGGGGGUUGGAAAGUUUCGGCGGUUGGGGAUGGACUCGCGGCUUAUCAGCUUGUUGGUGGGGUAGUGGCUUACCAAGGCUUUGACGGGUAGCCGGCCUGUGAGGGUGACCGGCCACAUUGGGACUGAGAUACGGCCCAGACUCCUACGGGAGGCAGCAGUGGGGAAUAUUGCACAAUGGGUGGAAGCCUGAUGCAGCAACGCCGGGUGCGGGAUGACGGCCUUCGGGUUGGAAACCGCUUUCGCUCAUGACGAAGCUUUGUGUGACGGUAGUGGGUAAAGAAGCACCGGCUAACUACGUG
RNAcentral lists this ribosomal RNA (467 nucleotides) under uncultured bacterium. RNAcentral's name for it is "partial 16S ribosomal RNA". It matches the Rfam family "Bacterial small subunit ribosomal RNA", at positions 28 to 507 of the family's 1533-position model. The record is from RNAcentral.